RNAcentral lists this ribosomal RNA (190 nucleotides) under Salmonella enterica subsp. enterica serovar Infantis. Its description in RNAcentral is "partial 16S ribosomal RNA". It matches the Rfam family "Bacterial small subunit ribosomal RNA", at positions 1 to 186 of the family's 1533-position model. The record is from RNAcentral. Lineage: Bacteria; Pseudomonadati; Pseudomonadota; Gammaproteobacteria; Enterobacterales; Enterobacteriaceae. RNAcentral also lists the same sequence under 2 other names.
AAAUUGAAGAGUUUGAUCAUGGCUCAGAUUGAACGCUGGCGGCAGGCCUAACACAUGCAAGUCGAACGGUAGCACAGAGAGCUUGCUCUCGGGUGACGAGUGGCGGACGGGUGAGUAAUGUCUGGGAAACUGCCUGAUGGAGGGGGAUAACUACUGGAAACGGUGGCUAAUACCGCAUAACGUCGCAAGA